Molecule: non-coding RNA, 1728 nt
Organism: Triticum urartu
Lineage: Eukaryota; Viridiplantae; Streptophyta; Magnoliopsida; Poales; Poaceae
Source: RefSeq, a predicted model, not a curated record
AUAGGAAAUCGCUUCAGCCCUUUUCCCUCGACUCACGCGACCUCUCCCAAAAUAUCUGUCUCAUUGCCGCCGCCGCCGCCUCGCCCCAUCGACCCAUUGUUUGCUUCGUCCUCCUGCGCCGGCCAAGCAGACUCCACAUCCAAUCACCCACGCCUCCUCUCGACCCAGGCACAUCGCCUCCUUCCCUCACCCCUGCCGCCUCUAUGCCACUCCUAACCCUUUCUCUUCUCAAUCCGGCUCCAUGGAGGUGGCCGGCAGGGAGGACGAGGAUGUGGAGGAGGGCGCUGCCAAUGGUGCCAGAAGCAGCUCGAUAAGAACCACCGUCAUGCGGAGGCAAGUCGCCAUCGACACGGCCUCUUCGUCUGCACCGUCAAGGGCCAACAGCUCCAGAUCCGGGAGCAUCUUCCCGGAGGCGGAGCCGGCGACUCCUGAUGCACCUGGUGAUGGCCGGGGUAGUGAUCCAGUCGACCUUCUUGAUGUUGGCUUCCUCACUAUGCUGCAACCUCCUCCUCCGCAGGUGGACGAGUGCUACGAGCCGGCAGUUCCUGAAAUUUUUCUUGCAACCGGUUGAGGUUUUUCUCUGACCAUUUCUCCGAGAUUCCGGUUUUUUACACUGUUCAUUUGUUUGUGAAAAGAGAGGUGGGAAAGGAAGUGCUGGACUAGCUGUUGCGAUGGGGAUUAAUUCAAAAGAUUAGAGGAGAUAAGUUAGCAAAGAUUUAGGUGAUGUUCCUGCUGCUAAUGUGUAUGCGGCUGAAAAGUCAAAAGGUAGAAGAGAAAAUUUUGCUGCUAAUGAAUAUACAAAGAGAGAGGGUUGAUGUUGCUAUUUUGUUCCCUAUUUAUAUUGGUCGCUCUAUAGGAUUCUUAUCGCAUUUUCUUGAUCUGGGGUGAUUUUGUGUCCUUUUAACUGAUGCAUAUCGUGUGUGGGUUCUGUGGGGAUUCCACCAUUAGCAGAAAGAUCAAGGCAAUGUGAUAACUUUUAUGAGGCCAUAUUUUGUGUCUAAAUCUGCAGAGUUAUAUGAUGUGUAAAUUGGCAGUGUUGCUGAAUGGAAGGAGGUCACCAUUGUAUUCGACCUGGGAAGCUACAUACAGAUUUUCAUCUAUGAUAUUUCAGCAUCUUCUAUGCUUCCAAUCUGUUAAUUUAAUUUUACUUAUAAACGGCACAACCUUCCCUUCUCCUUUUUCGUGUGUAGAAUGAUGAUUGAUGUAGUUUCACUGAAUCAAAAUAUUGAUGCCUUUUCCCUUCUCCUUGACAGCUUUGCGAGAGCUAGGAAAGUAAUGGUGGACUCUCAUGAAGAACAGAGACAGAUAAUGUUUGAGAGGUUCUCCUUCGUGAGCUACGUCAGCGCUCAGAAGGCAUACAUUGAAGCCCUUGACGGCUGGUUGUCCAAGUUUAUCCUAACAGACACCAUUUGUUACUCCCGGGGGAUAUCCUUGAUUGCGCCCGACAGGGCCGGCACACCGCCCCUGGUGGUGAUCACGAGUGGCACACCAUGCUGUCGACGACUGGAUCGAUCCUCCGCACUAGUGAGUCUGGCAUAGGACUUGGCGAUGGGGAGAGGUUGUUCAGCGCUACGGAGAGCUGGUGCCAAAAACUAACUGUUGAUGUGGAAUUAGAUUUAUUAAAUAAUUAUCAGUUUGACUUAUUCGCUUGUAUUCAAACUGUACUGCAUUUUUGUUUGAGUACUGUUUUUUUCAUGUUCAUGAUAGUUCUAAUAUACUGUGCUUCUC